Molecule: long non-coding RNA, 698 nt
Organism: Canis lupus familiaris (dog)
Lineage: Eukaryota; Metazoa; Chordata; Mammalia; Carnivora; Canidae
Exons: 3
Source: RefSeq, a predicted model, not a curated record
AGUGAAUGAUUCCCAUCUGUCAGCAACAAUGGGGCCACAUUAUUCAUUGUUCUGGCAGUCCUGUACCCUACGGGUGUUGGGAAUAGGCCUCCCCUUCAGAGAUCUCUGGUUGUAGAUGAGGAAACAGAGGCAUUUAAUUGAACUAAGCCUAAGUGACUUGUCUCAAAGAAGUAAGCAGCCUGAGUUCGGUAGGUACAGAUAAACCAUGGCAGAGAAGUCAUCACAUCCUAUCCCCUACCCCACCACCACCCCAUGGAAAGAUGUUCCUGCUCCUCCAGGAGAAACCCUCUACUUCACCAGCAGAGUCCCUUUGAAUUCCUGAAUUUAUAAAUUUGAGAAAACCUUCAGAACAUGAUAUAUUCUUGCAGAAUGGUCUGUGGGACAAGAAGAGUGAUUGACAACUGCAGGAAUUACAUCUGAGGUUUAGUCCUGCAGGAAAAGGGGAUACAAAUUGCCUGCAAAUUAUCCACAAGUCCCUGAUGAGCCUGAGCAGAAAAUUUAAGAGGCUUCAGUCUUUCUUCAACAAACAUGUUCACGUGUCUCCCUUUACUAUAACAUACAAACACCCAAGAGAAAUUGUCCCCGUGAAAACAUUACUUUCUUUUUUAUCCUUGUCAAAUGUGUUAAUAGUAAAUGUGUAAAUGCCAAUUAAUAGUCUUUAUCCUGUGCCAAUAGUGUUCCGUGUAUGAUUCAGAACA